AUAAUAAGCUAUAAUGCUAAUCAAAUAUAUAAUUAUAUUGUAUAUAAUAACGCCGGAGUACAACUACAGUUUGUCUAUAAGGAAGGAUAUCGAAUUUGCUAAACAGUUUUUGAAAUACCACGGGAUAUCAGAUAAGAAUGUAUGUGUAAAAAAGUACAUAAAACAACUAUGCUCAAAUGAUCAAGAACAAGUAUGCAGCGCUCGGCUGUCGGGAAAGAAAAUGGAGUUCAAACAAUUUAAUAACCCAUGUUACAUGGAUUUUAAUAAUUUUUGCGAUUCUCAAGACAACAUAUGGGCUAUCAAAAAUCCUGGCCCCUGCGUAAUGAACGCCGAAAUGAGACGAUUCGCAAAAGAAAUUGAAAAAAUAGCGGAGACUUCGCCCAAAUCAAUACCAAA
Long non-coding RNA from Cydia amplana, 396 nucleotides. RefSeq lists it as uncharacterized. NCBI's taxonomy places the organism in Eukaryota, Metazoa, Arthropoda, Insecta, Lepidoptera, Tortricidae. The record is from RefSeq and is a predicted model, not a curated record. The transcript has 3 exons.